GGGAGAGCUAAAGCAGGCCAGGGUGGAGGAGGGAAGGGCAGAGGGUCAGAGGAUCAGGGAGCAGCUCUGCUUUCACCUGUGCCAGGUGGCCUUCUGGCUCUGUGCAGGGUACCCAGCCAUCCUAGACAUUCAGGCCAGGCUCAGCCCCCAGGCCAGGCUCAGCCCCUAGUCUAGACACCUCUCUGAACUUGAACACCAGGAAACAGGAUACCAGGUCUUUGGAGGUCUAGAGCAGGGGUCAGUAAACUGUUUUUGUAAAGGACAAGACAGAACAUAGUUUACGCUUUGCAGGCCAUGUGGUCUCUGCUGUUGCAGUGGGAAAGCAGCCAUAGACAAUAUGUAACAAAUGAACAUGGCUUUGUUCCAAUAAAACUUUAUUUACAAAAGCAGACAGCAGGCUGGAUUUGGCCCAUGAGCUGUAGUUUGACAACCCUUGGUCUAGAACAUUCUUUGCCAAGACCAGCCACAGAGCCACUGGAGAGAUCUUCCAGAAGCCACAUUGCCCGCACAGAAUACAGCCAGCUGGGGCGUUUGUCCAGCAGCAGGUGUGAGGGUUUACUGCCUCUGCCUCGAGGAAGCAUCACCUCCCACUCUCACCCAGAAGCUGGCCCUGGCCUGGAAGCCGGAACUCCAGAACUGCAGCUCUUUUCAGGUCAGCUCAGCUUCUGGUCUGCAGCUGAAGAGACUAAAACUUGCCCACCCCAGGCAAGGGCUAGGAAGCCACCAAAGCCCAAGAGCUCUUGGCAAAGAAGCUGCAUUUCCUCAGAGGAACCAGAGACACCUGGUCUACCCAUCGACUUCCCCUCAUGCCCUUAUGGUCUCAUAAGGCUACCCUUAAGGAGUAGCCUGAGUAACCAAGAAGUCAGAGUCCCCCAGGGAUCUUCCAGAGCCAAGAGUCUGCCUGCCAGGGAAUGGGAAGCCCGGCCCCAUCCAGCAACUGCCACCCUGAGGGCCUGGGCCUGGCACUGCUCAGGAGUCCCACUCAUGGAGAGGGGUGGCAGCAGGAGCAGGCCAGGCAGGUAGGUCCCUGGGCAGAUGGAUGGGGGUGGCUGGGAACAGGAACAGGAACCUGACUUGGCCACUAAUGUCACCCUAGGGUGCUGUGCCUUCUCUCCAGUGUUUGUCUGAAGAGACUUCCAAAAGAGGUACCAAAGGAAGCCGAACCCAUCUCCUGGCCUCAGAGGGUCAGAGGUUGGGAGGGACACACUGGUCUGAGGAUGGAGGCAAGAGCGUGCUCUCCCGGCCCCCCCUCUGGUGAGACCCCUCCUCACUGGCACCCCACCUGCGGGAAGCAGAGCGAACACUAUCACACCCCAGCGGUCCCGGGCCAGCUGCCCAGCCCAGUGCCCUGCCCUUCCUUUCCCAGGGCUGACAGCCUUUCUGGGCUCGAGUUCCUCAUCCAUGAAGUGGGGGUUAUGUUAUCGACCUCAGAGGGCUGUGAAAAUGGGACGGUGUCUGUGAACUCCCUCACAUAUUGCCCAGCCCUUAGCAGAGCUCCUCGAAAUGUCAGUUCUUUGCUGCCCAGAGCCAGGCUCCUGGUAAUGACCAGGGAGAGAGCCUGCUUUUGACCAAGGAGUGAAAAACUGACCUAGAAAUGUCAGUUCCUUGCUGCCCGCUCCAGCCUCCACCCCUUUCUCACCAUCAUUCCCUGAGCACGCAGCAGCGUUCACAUGGACUCAUCGAGGCGCCUGCCAUUGGGCAUCCCUCUCCUCCUUGCGUCUAUUUCCUUAUGUGUAAAGUGGGGACAGGACCACCGCUGAGGACCCAGUUCUCUGAGCACUGGGGAUGAGGUGGGCUUCUGGCCCAGCCAGCCCUCUCCCUGCCAGUGAUGCCAGAGACCCCAGAGACAGUGCUCUGUUCCACUGUUCAGCUACAAACAGCCAAUCCCUCCCUUCACCCUAAGUGUCCCAGCCCCGCUCCCCAAACACCCAAGGACUCCUGCACAAAGAACUGUGGUCCAAACCCCCAAGCCAGCUGGGACCAGGUGAUUUCGGUAGCCCUGCAUCCUGGCCUCCAUCCAUCCCAGCCUGUCUCAGCUUUUGCAUCACCAUCCCAGACAGGCACCCACCUUCUGUCCCUGGCCCUGCUUCUGCCCCCCACUCCACCUGCCCUCAUGCCUGCCUUCCCCUCCUGCACCCCUGCUGGGCUCCUGAGGAACCAGAUGGAAAGAGUGUGUGCCCCCUACCCCCCAGCUUCCAGUCUCAGGAGGAUCAGAACAGACAGUACAGGUCAAAGCAGCAAGGCUAAGGGUGGCAGGUACACAACACUGCAGCCCCCAGAUCUAGAGAUAAGAUUUGGAUUUUGGUCAGAGGGAGGAUGAAGCACACACCACCCCCACUCCCACCCAGCACCACCAUCCUUCCCCUUCCUCCUCCUGGGUCAGGGUCUGAAGGUGGAGAAUCCCCAGAAACCCUUUAGAGUCCUCUGAUGAAGCCUCCCCAGACCCACCUUCGAGCCAGUGGGGAGGGGAGAGGAGGAUGACUACGGGGCAGCCCACCCAGGGGCAUCUCAAGACACUCCCAGGACAGCAUGGACAGGCCUGGACCCUCCUGCCCUGUGGCUCCUGCCAGGGCCCCUCCCCUGAGCUGAGGUGAAAGUGGGCAGUGGAGAAAGAAAGUCCGGGGCAAAUGGGCAGGUGGCACCCCCUACCAGCAGAAGCCCAGAAACGUGAGUAGAACCAGGGGACCCUGCAGGGCUGCUGUGCCCCUUCUCUCUUCCCAAAUAGGAGUGAGCACAUCAGGACCUCUGAGAGGGCAGGAGGGUGGCUCCUCUCCACUCCACGGACAAACAGAGUGGCCCGGCUACAUAAAUGCGCGCCAUCCUCACUGCUACCUUUGGAAUAGUACCUUGAAAGGAAACUACGCUUUGGAGAAGACCAAGGGUCCCAGGCCUGCCCUGUCCAUCACUCCGAAGCUCCUCCUUGGCAGUACCCGCCCCCACCCCUCUGCUACAGUGCGGGUGACCUCCCACUGUCAGACAGUGGAAGGGGCUGCUUGUCGGAAGGACAGGCCUCCCAUCUCCACACUCUGCUGCCCCAGACUGUGGAAUACAAGAGUUCUGUGGCCCUUCACAUUGUCGCAGGGCUAUCGCUGCUGCUCAGGCCCUGGGGACCCGCCAGAGUGGGACACCGUGCUCUAACAUAGGUGCAUUCACCCACUCCUCACAUCCUUGGAGGUUCUAGAGGGGCGACAGACAGCAGAGCCUUGGCCUAACCAGCCAGCGCCUGCAGCCUUACGCACACCCUGUGGAUGCGGCUGACUGAGAUGGGGAGCCUCCCUCUCACCCCGGUGGUUUCCACCAUCAAUUCCUCUGCACCAGCCAAGUCAUCCCAGGCAUUACAAUGAGCCCAGGGCUGCCCGGUCUGAGAGAGAUCCAGGACACUAGCGAUCCAGCCCACUCUGCCUGGAGCUUGGGCCCCCACGCAGACUGAGAGAUGAGGAAACUGAGGCCCCGAGUGCAUCUUCCUCAAGGCCACAUGGUGAAUGGUGAGUGGCAGAUCCUGCGCACCUCUGCCGACUCUCGUGGGUGCAGGAGAGGUGGUCAGACCCACCCUUUCAAUUGUACCACACUGCCCAGAUUGAGAAGAGCUUUCAGUUCAGUAACAGUCCCUACCAGCCUGGAGAACAGACCAGCCUCUGUCCCUCCACGGAGAUGACCCACUCCCAUCUUGCUUGUACCUGGCUUCAGGGAUCCUGGGGAGAGACAGGAGGUUAAAAAAGGGACAUAUCAAAACUCCCUCCUCUUGGAACCCGCCCAGCUUCCAUCACCCUCCUGACUCAGCCUGCAUGCUCAGCAGAUUACAAACGCCCCAUCAGGGAGCACUGCCUGGGCCUGUGGCCUGUGGCCUGGUGAGCUGGGGGGCACUCGGGUCAGAGGUGAAGCGAGCCUCAGUCUGGCGGGCGGGGCCAGGUGGGCAGAGACUGCUGUUCCUGGGGAGGUAAGCAUGGGUGUCUGGGGGGAUGGCGUGGGAAAGGCUUUUUCAGUAACCAGCCUCUAUCCAGCACAGUGCCCCGGUAAGUGUUUACUGAAUUAAUGCUGUUGCUGGAGAGACAGGAAAAAUGGGAGAAUCAAGGAACUGCAGUUCCCAGUAGGGCCAUGGCUUGAAGGAAGGGGAGAUGGAGGCCCUUCGCCUCUCCCCUCAUCCUCAACAGCUCCACCCAGAGAGGGAGUGCAAACAAGGGGCCCAACAGCUGAGUCUGGUUUUUUAUUGAAUGCAAACUCAUUCAUAGAAAACGGAAAUGCAACCAUAGAAUGGAAACGCUCUGAGAAAAGAUCCAGACCCACCUCAUCUCCCAGCCCACGCAGAGCUAUAAAAACAAGUUUGGGAGAAUAAAACACAUUCCCAUCCCCAAGGCAGAGGCCCCACCUGAGCUCCCCCAUCCUUGGCAUCUGGAGCGGACCAGGUGGGGGGACGAAGGGGCUCCAAGGACCAGGGUGGCCAGGGCGCCCAGAGCUGGGGCAACUCAGUGUAAACUCCAAGGUUUCGUAGGCAUGUGUGUGCGUGACUAACAGAACUUGGCUGAAGACUGGACGGAAACUCAGAAGCCAGCCCUGGGUCCUAGAACGAGGCUAGGACUGGGCACGUACAGGGAAACAGCGCAUCCCUUCCUGAGGCCCCUUUCUAAGGCAGGCACUGGGGCGCCCGCGGCUGUGGAGGCGGCACGAGCUGAACUCUUUGUACCGUCCCUCCUUUGCCCCUGGACAUUCCUGGGCAGCGUCAAUGGCACUGAAAGGCCCCCAGCUGGGGCUUGGCAGGACUAAGGGCCUGGAAAGGAAGGGAAGAGGUGAGGUGCUUCUCCCUCCAGUCCUGGUGCUGGCAUCAGUCUGGGGGCUGAUGGGACAAGGAGGUGACCUCUGAACUCAGCCUCUUGAAUCAGAAGGCUGUUCUCAAAUUGGGCUGACCGCAUUGCUAAAGAGCCAGCCCUGAGCACAGGUCAGAGGGAAGAUAGUACUCACCGCCCCGGGCCCCUUGCAGGCCUUAGCACCAAAAGUCUGGCACCAGCUGGCCAACCCCCAAAAUCUCAUACCCCCAUCCAUCCUGGCUGACUGGAAUGGGCAGUGAUGACAGCCAGGGACAGCCCCAAAGAGAACUGGGGCCCUGAUACAGGACAGAGAUUCAGGCCCCAGACUAGGCCCUGAAGCGGGAGUAUGGGAGGAAAAAGGGGCCUUAGGUUCCAGGCUGGGGCAUUGUGGGGAGGAGGACGGGCAAAAUGCAAGGCAUGAAAUGGGGAGGGUGUUCCUUCCAUCCUUCCUCUUGCAGAGGGACAAAUGGAGAGCCAAAGGACGGGGGCCCAUGGAAGAGAAGAAAGCAGCAAUUUGGCCAAUGUCCGGGGGUUCCAGGGGAGCAGGCCUCCUCCUUGGCAGAGGACAGCUGCAAGGCUCCAUGCCACCCCAUGACUGUCCCAGGCCAAGCCUAGGCUAGACCUGGCUGUCCUGCUGCCAUCCAGUGCUGGGCAGCGGUGCUGGGACUCAUCACCACAGCACGACAGAGUGCCCGGACUAUGACAUAAAGGAGCUCAGGGCCCCCUGAGGUGAAGCGAAGGGCCUAGCUCCUGCUAGAAGACAUAGAUCUUGUCCCGCUGCACAGUGUCCAGGUCGUCAUCCAGUGUCAGCAACACCUGGGGGGUGGACGCCAGAUCAGCCACAGAGAAGGAGGCAGCUGCUACCUUCACGCACCCACCCGGCUUGGCCGAGAGGCCCGCUUACCAGGAAGGACCCGAACAUGGCGAUGGAGGAGAGGAAGUGCCAGAUGUCGUGGUCGUCAAAGAAGUCGAGGAGGAUGCAGUCCCGGUUGUGCUCCCUUGACUCCGCAGGGGUUUUCUUGGGGAGCAACAAGAAAAACUGCCGAGUGACCCUGCUCUGCCAGGGCCAGACCCAUCUGCCAUCUUGCUCCUGGGCACCCCUCUCUCCAGCCCCAGGCAGGACAGCAGCAAUUCUGACCUGUCCCUUGUCCCCACCCCUUCCCGAUCUAAGAAAUGGCCUUUGGUUACAAACUUC
This is a long non-coding RNA of Macaca mulatta (Rhesus monkey), 5997 nucleotides long. RefSeq lists it as uncharacterized. Lineage: Eukaryota; Metazoa; Chordata; Mammalia; Primates; Cercopithecidae. The record is from RefSeq and is a predicted model, not a curated record.